CAGCACCUCAAGUGGUCAGGAUGAUUAUUGGGCCUAAAGCAUCCGUAGCCGGCGCUGUAAGUUUUCGGUUAAAUCUGUACGCUCAACGUACAGGCUGCCGGGAAUACUGCAGCGCUAGGGAGUGGGAGAGGUAGACGGUACUCGGUAGGAAGGGGUAAAAUCCCUUGAUCUAUUGAUGACCACCUGUGGCGAAGGCGGUCUACCAGAACACGUCCGACGGUGAGGGAUGAAAGCUGGGGGAGCAAACCGGAUUAGAGACCCGAGUAGUCC
This 270-nucleotide ribosomal RNA is filed under the name uncultured archaeon. Its description in RNAcentral is "partial 16S ribosomal RNA". It matches the Rfam family "Archaeal small subunit ribosomal RNA", at positions 477 to 747 of the family's 1478-position model. The record is from RNAcentral.